Schizosaccharomyces pombe (fission yeast) is the source of this 1106-nucleotide non-coding RNA. The record is from the annotation of a GenBank genome assembly. NCBI's taxonomy places the organism in Eukaryota, Fungi, Ascomycota, Schizosaccharomycetes, Schizosaccharomycetales, Schizosaccharomycetaceae.
CCAAAAAAUAAAAAUAAAAAUAAAAGAAAAGAAAAAGAAAUUGAUUUAUAAUAACUGAAAACAAAGAUGGAAAGCGUCAUUCAUUCAAACAUUAUUAGCUGCUAUCAAGAUUGAAGUAACGCCUGGUAUGAUAGUUCAUACAAAUUUAAUUCCCCAUGGAACAACAUAAAUCAAUCUUUAUGUAAAGGAUCUCCUUUUUCUUUCAUUUAAUCCUUUUUUUGAGUAGAAGAAGCUGGUAGUUGUUUGGGGAUGGCAUGAAACGUGCGAAGUCUAGCAUUGCUGUCGGCAUACGAUUUUCCUAAACCAAAACCAAGGCCUCCCCAUACUGGCCAAGCAGCACCUGAACAAAAAAAUUUCGUUAAUAAUCAUAAUCAAACAGGAAACUUAUUGCAGGUUCUCAAUAUUACUUACGACGAAAGAAAAGCACAGAGCUCACAAUACCUGCGCCUAACCCAAUACCGGAUUGCACGACCAUGUUGGAAAGACACACGUCCCACUAAAACAGCAAUGUUGUUAGAAAAAGUAAAAAGUAACAUGAAACAAUCGACUUGAAGCAAUCAUAUGUAUCUUUCAACAGAUAUGUAUUACCGCAUCACCUUCAGAACUGGCUUCUUCAGGUGUCCUUAAAAAAUGUAUAUCCAUGUUUAACAGUAAUUCCUUUUUUUAUUUUGUUUCAUUAUUAUACGCAUAACAUACCUGGUAAUUGAGUGUCUGUUCACUUGAUUGAGAGGUUGACAUUGUAAAAAGGAAAGAGCGAAACUCGAAGGAAGCGUAAAAUUUAUUUUAUUCAAAAAAUAUACAAAGUCGUAUAUAUCAGUAAAACCUAAAGAAUUUGGAAAGGGGGGAUGUUGAGUUGUUCAAGAAGAAGUUCGUGAGUCCCAUCCGCAAGCGCUUGCACUCGCACUCGCUCGUUCAUGAUGUAAAUUCCUUUACAAAAGAGUAAAGUAGCAUUGCUACCUCGAAGUAGAACAGAGAUUAGACUAGGGCAUUAGUAUUCAGUAAACAAAUUCUAAAAAAAAUAAUAAAAUAAAAUAGUUAAAAAUAAAAAAUUCCUUCAACAAAUGAUUAAUCGUCAGGAAUAGCAUAAUUAGGAGUGAUUACUCUGC